CCCCCCUCCCCAUUCCCUCUCUCUCCCCACCUUCCCUUCCGAUUGUAUUUGACAGACGCCCACGCAGAGAGCGAGACGCACACAGAGAGACAGACAGACAGACAGACAGAGAGAGGGCUCCCAAUUCCGCCCGCGGCCUCCGUCGAUCGAUCCACCCAUCCGCCGAGAGUGGGAUCGGAGCGGCAGCUCCGCCCUCCCCUGCCGCGGCGGCCACCGACUGAUGCAAAAUGGUAACUGUACAUGGAUUUGCCAAUGGUACUAAUGAUGGCACCGCCAACAGGAAGAUCAAGCGCCUUUUUAACUCAUCAGAGAGGAAGAACCCCACCAAUUUCCAAUUUGAGCGUCAUGUAGCUCGUCUUGAAUCUAGACAGCAGCAGCAACCCAGGCGGUGUAUCUUCACGACGAUCUUACCAAUUGAGUUCUUCCACACCUCAUCUGAACCUACAUCUCCAGAAGAUAGCCUUGGCCCGUCAUCCUCCUCGCCAUCAAUUAUUUUCUUGCAUUUUAGUGUGGCAGAUGAACCUCUCAGAAAAUAUUCAUCUAAUCAAAGGCUGCUGGCAGAGCGAUCCACAUCAUCCAAUAGUAUGUCCAAUUCAGGUUUCUCAGACAAUACCUCUACCAAGACAAGGGUGGAUGCAAGGCAUACUACAAGAAGGAAGAGCAAAAAGAAAAACAAGAAGCAGAAGAAACACUUCAGAAAGCCAGCUGAUGGAUCUGAAAUUACAUGCGCAGAGAGCAACGGCUCUACCCCUUCAGUCGAUAUGGUUGAUUCUUGUGAAGGUUCGACACUUUCACCUAAGCAUGUUGGUGAUAUACUGUUUGAGGAAACCUUUUCUCCUAGUUCUUCGGUGAAAGAAGCCUCUGAAAAGGCUCCUGACAGUGAAAAUGAUAAUGAGUACAAUGGCUGUUCAGUUGCUUCUGUUUCAAGCGCGUCUUACUCUGAUGAGACAGAACUGUCUAGACCAACUACAUCAGGCCUGGAAUUGUUUGGACAAUGUAACAGCAGUGACUGCAGGUGCUUGGAUGAUACUCCAAAUUGUGACCUGAUGGAUUCAUCUCAAGAGCUUCAUUAUGCCAGCAGGAGUGGGAACUGUAGUGAUAUGACCAAGACACUGUUCAGAAAUGAUUGUGUACAUGAUCCAUGUGAAACAGCAGAAUUUUGCAGCUCUAGUGAUGGAGUUGAUGAUAGUUGGCUAGAGAAUUCCAACUGCAGUAGUAGCUUUUGUUCUGAAAAUGGUAGCAGAGGCAGUGAUUUUCAUCUAGUAAUUUCGAGAAAGAGAGCUAGAAAAGAGAGGAAAAUGUCAAUGUGGAAGAGCUUUACUGGGGAGCAUGCAUCUGCUGUUACGCAUGGUCCAAAUGAAAAAUAUACUGGCCGCUCUUCUAGGCAGAUGAUUAAGGAACUCAACACUAAGGAGUGGUCACAUAGACCAGAUCAUGUUGGUAGCAUACAGCCUCAGCAUGGGGUUGCGUUGAAACGCUCCAUCAAGAAUUUCAUCCAUAGGAGGAGUAACGAAGUUCCACUUAAGGACUUUGAAUCAGGAGCAAGUCACAAUCAUUUUACAAGUCCACAAGAAAACAUCAAUAGCAAAUCAAAUGGUGAUUUUGACAAAGAGCAGAACAUUGAUUUAAACAAAAGGCUACCCAAUGCUGUGUACUGCAGUGAGUCAAGUUCUUGUGAGAUGUUAUCAAAUUCAGCUUCUGAACCUACAACUUCCGAGUCUGCGCAGGACAACUGUACUUCAGAAUCUGGUGAAUCAACAGAUCAUAUUGUAGGAGAUUUUCCCAUGCGGAAAACAGGAUUACAAGGUUCAUUCCAAGCCAAUGAUGUUACCGGGACAGGUUCUGGACCACCAUCACCUGAUCUGAAGUCCACUCAGACUGACUUAGUGAUUGGAUGUGGUGUAACUCCUUUUGUUGAAGGGAAUCACAGAUUAGGAAAGUUUUGCAGUUCUGAAAUGCAUCUAAUUGAGAUGAUCAAGGUUGUUAAUGAUGCCUAUGAGGUGCAAGUUGCUGCAGAUGCCUACAUGUCUGCUGGUUAUCCGAUUACUGAUCUCGAGACAUUUAUAUACUCUGCAACUCCAGUCAUUGGUCAUGUUCCUUGUGUGAAAAACAGAAACUGUUCACAGGAUCAAGUUGUCAGGAACUCAGCUUAUCAGCAGUACAUGUCUAAUAUUAACCUAAGGAAUAUAUGGGAAUGGUAUGAAGAGCCAGGGUGCUAUGGGUUGGAAGUAAGAGAUCUCAAUGAUCUCAGUUCCUUGACAUCACACCACAAGAGUUCAGAGUUCUGUGCAUAUUUUGUACCUUACCUGUCUGCUAUUCAGUUGUUUGGGUGGUCUACGAAGAAUAUGGAUAAUGGUUUUGAUGUACAAGAGGGACAUUUGUUGGGGGCAUCGAAUACCACAAGCGUUUUGAGUUCUCAACCCGUGCCUGCGAAACUGCAUAAACCAUUUGAGCAAAGUAACACAUCCUUUUCAGAAUCAUCUUCCUCUGCGCAUGCUCAUGGAGAACUCAUUUUUGAAUACUUCGAAACAGAGCAGCCUUCUUUUCGACCUCCGUUGUUUGAAAAAAUCAAGGAGCUUAGCUGCCUAAAUGUAUCUGGUGACUCUGAAAAGCUACAAAGUGCGAAAUUGCGUGAUCUGCAUCCGGCUUCUUGGUACUGUGUUGCUUGGUAUCCUGUUUAUCGCGUACCUCAUGGGAACUUCCGUGCAUCAUUCUUGACAUACCAUUCACUGGGUAAACUGGUUCCACAAAUAUGCUCCCCAGAUUCUAGUGGUGGUCAGGACACCCGAAUUGUUUGCCCGGCUGUUGGUCUGCAGAGUUACAAUGACAAGGGUGAGCAAUGGUUUGAGCUGAGAUGUCGAGAUUCCUCGAAGCCCAGUGGCGCUGAAGUUGUGGAGGAGAGGCUGAGGACACUGAAGCGAGGUGCAUUCGCGAUGGCAAGGGCUGUCAUUCCUAGGGGAUCCGAGGAGUCGUCUGCGAACCACCAUCCAGAUUAUGAGUUUUUCCUGUCCCGGUCUACCUAAGACUAUGCUCCUUUGCCUGCUAUGCUAACGCGCCGCAAGAAUCCCAUGAAGAAAUUUACAAAAAAAUUAGAGCAUAAUAGAUAUGACAUUCCACUAACCAGUGGUCGGCAGUAGUUUACCCUAGAAAGAAGAGGAGAAGAGAAGGGAAGGGAGGGGAUACUAUAAGUGACAUUCUAACCUACUAGACACCUGAUGAUGCAAACAGGGUUGAGUUUUAGACCUUGAAUGUUGUACAAGUGUGCCAAGGGGAUCAAAGAGUUUGGCAACAUUUUCGUUUUACAGAUCAUGCAGGUAGGCAGGCAGGCUGGUUCUGCUUCUGCAGGUGCUUUUUUUGUACAGACAAAGAAAAAUGAGAGCAAGAUGAGAUUUGCUACUCAACCUUUUUCCAAUGUCGAUGAAAUGCGGAACUAGUAUUUCUCUCUACCUGGCUUUUCCUUGAUUAAUCAUAUCCAAGCAACAUUGGUAGGCAUUUGCAUUUGCUAGUUAGCCUUGUGUUGCUGCUACGGAUGAUCAAGUUGAAACCUCUUAUGUUUGCCUCUUGUCAAGGUUCUAAACGGUCAACAAGAUCACAAGUGUUUUUCUUUUGAGAAUGU
Molecule: ribosomal RNA, 3616 nt
Filed under: Triticum aestivum (bread wheat)
Lineage: Eukaryota; Viridiplantae; Streptophyta; Magnoliopsida; Poales; Poaceae
Description: partial small subunit ribosomal RNA
Source: RNAcentral